Small nuclear RNA from Echinops telfairi (small Madagascar hedgehog), 190 nucleotides. RefSeq annotates it as U2 spliceosomal RNA. Lineage: Eukaryota; Metazoa; Chordata; Mammalia; Afrosoricida; Tenrecidae. The transcript has a single exon. The record is from RefSeq and is a predicted model, not a curated record.
UUUUCUUGUAAGUAUUGUAACUGAAACUGGGCUAAAAAAGACUGAUAGCAGUUUAAUAUCUGAUACGUCCUCUAUCCGAGGACAAUAUAUUAAAUGGAUUUUUGGAGCAGGGAGAUGGAAUAGGAGCUUGCUCUGUCCACUCCACGCAUCGACCUGGUAUUGCAGUACUUCCAGGAACGGUGCACCCCCU